Molecule: ribosomal RNA, 253 nt
Filed under: uncultured bacterium
Lineage: Bacteria
Description: partial 16S ribosomal RNA
Rfam family: Bacterial small subunit ribosomal RNA
Source: RNAcentral
UACGGAGGGGGCUAGCGUUAUUCGGAAUUAUUGGGCGUAAAGGGCGUGUAGGCGGCUUCGUGUGUCCCAUGUGAAAGCCCUCGGCUUAACUGAGGAAGUGCAUCCGAAACUGGCAGGCUAGAGUACUAAAGAGGGUCGCGGAAUUCCCGGUGUAGAGGUGAAAUUCGUAGAUAUCGGGAGGAACACCGGUGGCGAAGGCGGCGACCUGGGUAGAUACUGACGCUGAGGUGCGAAAGCGUGGGGAGCAAACAGG